AUGCACGCUGGCGGCGUGCCUCAUACAUGCAAGUCGAGCGAACAGACGAGGAGCUUGCUCCUCUGACGUUAGCGGCGGACGGGUGAGUAACACGUGGAUAACCUACCUAUAAGACUGGGAUAACUUCGGGAAACCGGAGCUAAUACCGGAUAAUAUAUUGAACCGCAUGGUUCAAUAGUGAAAGACGGUUUUGCUGUCACUUAUAGAUGGAUCCGCGCCGCAUUAGCUAGUUGGUAAGGUAACGGCUUACCAAGGCAACGAUGCGUAGCCGACCUGAGAGGGUGAUCGGCCACACUGGAACUGAGACACGGUCCAGACUCCUACGGGAGGCAGCAGUAGGGAAUCUUCCGCAAUGGGCGAAAGCCUGACGGAGCAACGCCGCGUGAGUGAUGAAGGGCUUCGGAUCGUAAAACUCUGUUAUUAGGGAAGAACAAAUGUGUAAGUAACUAUGCACGUCUUGACGGUACCUAAGCAGAAAGCCACGGCUAACUACGU
This 495-nucleotide ribosomal RNA is filed under the name uncultured bacterium. RNAcentral's name for it is "partial 16S ribosomal RNA". It matches the Rfam family "Bacterial small subunit ribosomal RNA", at positions 29 to 506 of the family's 1533-position model. The record is from RNAcentral.